RNAcentral lists this non-coding RNA (21 nucleotides) under Caenorhabditis elegans. The record is from RNAcentral. Lineage: Eukaryota; Metazoa; Nematoda; Chromadorea; Rhabditida; Rhabditidae.
UUAAUUUGAUCAUCCGUUUUC